Molecule: unclassified non-coding RNA, 25 nt
Filed under: Mus musculus (house mouse)
Lineage: Eukaryota; Metazoa; Chordata; Mammalia; Rodentia; Muridae
Description: oocyte_clustered_small_RNA13810
Source: RNAcentral
UGUGAAGGUCCACGAGGCGGCCACC